This 459-nucleotide ribosomal RNA is filed under the name Triticum aestivum (bread wheat). RNAcentral describes it as "partial small subunit ribosomal RNA". The record is from RNAcentral. Lineage: Eukaryota; Viridiplantae; Streptophyta; Magnoliopsida; Poales; Poaceae.
AUGAUCUGGAAAGCAAAAGUCCCAGAAAAAGUUAAGAUCUUUGCGUGGCGGGUGGCCACUGAAACCCUCCCAACAAAGAAGAAUAAAUGGAAACGAACUAUUGAGACUGACAGUGUCUGUACGAUCUGCGGGAGGGAAGAGGAAGAUGAGUUCCAUGCUGUCAUCAAGUGCACCAAAGCACGAGCGAUCAGAGAGGAAAUGCGGAAGCAUUGGAACUUGCCGACAGAGGAUCAAUUUCGUUUUACUGGAAACGAUUGGCUUCACAAUCUUCUGGGCAAACAUACUGCCGAUGUACGUAGCAAAACCAUGCUCCUGUUAUGGAGGGCCUGGUGGCUCCGUGAUGAUUGCUUCCAUGGGGAAGGCAAAGCAACGAUAGGACAGUCCGUCCAGUUCCUAGCUAAAUAUGCUACAGAGAUUGGAAUUAGUGGAUCAGUGAACACUCCGACACAUACCACCUGA